Microcebus murinus (gray mouse lemur) is the source of this 3450-nucleotide non-coding RNA. The record is from RefSeq and is a predicted model, not a curated record. Lineage: Eukaryota; Metazoa; Chordata; Mammalia; Primates; Cheirogaleidae.
CCUUGAGCGAUCCGCCCGCCCCUCAGCCUCCCAGAGUGUUAGGAUUAGGGGCGUGAGCCACCAUGCCUGGAAAUUUAGGUCUCUUUCUGCCUCUCAUUGUUCUCUGGCCUGCCCCGCUACUCCCUCAUGCCCCUAGCUAUGUCCUGCUGGAGUUGGGGACUGGUGGGGAGAAGGGCUGGGACUCCCCUGAGUCUAUCAGGCUGAGUGGUGGGAGGGGAAAGGAGCCUCCAGUCCUGAUUUACCUCCCUGGACUGUUUCUGGUCUGCGGACCCCCUGCUGAGGCCCAGGAGAACAAUCCCAGCACCUUUCCUCCCUUGUCUUCUGGCUCCCUGGGGUCCAGGGAGGGAUCAGAGAAGACAGGAAUAAAGGAGUGUGGGGGAGAGGACAUAGGGGUCAGGGCAGAGCAGAGGACACAUCUGGAUAGAAUCGAAUCAUAGAAUCAUUCAUUCAUUUAGUGAGUCCAACAGGUUCCUGUGCUGGGUGCCGAGGGAGGGAAAUGCGUGUAAGACAUGGGCCUGCUUUUGAAGGAGGUGCCUGGGUGCUGGCUUGAGGGCCCUAGACUUAGAAUCCAGGCCCCUGUUGUGAGCCUGACUACCACGUGCUGGGCAAGUUACUUCCUCAUCUGUAAAUAAGGAUAGUAAUACUGAAUUCCCAAGGUCAUUGUGAAGAUUAAAUGGGACAAAUACGGAAGAAGGCCUCAUUAAUAGUUGAUGUUCAUUGCAUGUAAAAUGACUGUGGAUCAGGUUUACAAUAAGGGAGGGGGAGAUAGGACAUGCCCACAGGCAAGUGGAACCCAGCCCUAGGGUGUAACAAAGGCCUGUUCUUGGGGUCUCUGUGGGAGCGGCCACUUCCGGCAGAGGUGACUAGGACAGGCUUUGUGGAGAGGUGCCUGGUGCGUGAUUUCAUUCAGUAAAUGUUUGCGGAAUGAAUGGGGUGUGCUGAAGCCAGGCCUGCAGGCAGGGUCCUGUCCCCCAAGACUGAGGCUGAUUCAACUGCAGUUGUUAAAGCUAAAGAGCCUUUGUGCAGAUCAAUCAUCUUAGUCCAUCAGCCCCCACAUCCGUGGAGACGCCCUUUGCCCCCACCUCAUUUCUGGAUGGAUCACACACCCUGGAGUGACUCAGUGCUUAGUAGAGGAGAAGAAGCUGUUAUGCAGACUACAGAGGAGAGCUGGGCACCUGCUUCACCCCCGAGGCCUUUCACGGAGGAGAGGAGACUAAAGACAGAAGGAAGGGUGAAUUCUUGGAGAAGAGUGCAUCGUCUUCCAUCACAGCAGAGUCUUGUCCAAACAGAGGUCUUUCACAAACUUUAUCAUCAUAUAAUCUGUUUUACAUAUAACAGAACAAAGCCUGAGACCCCAAAUUGAGUAUGAGCUUGAGUUUAAAGCUUUCCCCACUAUGUUGCAAUCACUUUGGGCAAUCCAAAGUUCUAAAAACAAAAUUAAUUUAAAUGUGAUUAACAAAAAUGAUUUCCAUAAUUUCCCCCCAAAAUUAAUAAUGAAAAAUAAUUUUAGGCAUAAAUGGUCCUGCCUCUUCACUAUACGGAAGAGGCAACUGUAGCUCAGAGAGAAGUGACUUGUCUGUUGUCACACAGCAAUUUAGAGACUGAAUUGAGACUAGAACACAGGUUAUUUGAUUACCAAAUUUAGGUUUUCCUGCUACUCCCACAUUGUUCUAGGAAUUGUUUAAAACAAUUCUCAAAAUGAAAAUGCACCUUAAUUUCAUUUAAUUUUAGUCUUGAAUCUUAGAAUAUUUUGAUUUUAAUCACAAAUCCUGGAGCACUUUGAAAGUGGUGGAAGGCGUUUGCAGGAGCGUGAGGACGGAGGGUGUGCCAGCUCACAGACAGAGCAGAGCGGGAAGGGUGCAGAGCUGCAGCCUGGCUCCUGAGCCAAACUGUCCUGGCCUCCUGAGCCUCCCCAGAUCAGUGGGGAAGCUUCCACAGGCCUCCUGGAAGGCAUCGGCCUUUAAAAGGAGUCAAAGCUUGCAUACUGGCUAGAGAAUCUGCCUUCCUGUCUCCUGCAUUUCUCAGCCUGUUUCUAGCUAGACCCAGGGGAGUGAGAAACUUAAUUCUGGAUUUUGGAGCCAGAAAAGCUGGGUUGAAUUCUGACCCUGGCACUUAUGCACUAUAUGACCUUAGGAAAUGUACAGAAAGUUUCUGAGCUUUCAUGUCCUCCUCUGUAAAAUGAGGCUAUUUGUACUUUCGUUACAGGUUUAAUUGUAAGGAUUAAAUGGGGUAAUAAAAACCUAUGGUGCAGGGAGUGCCUGGCAUAUGGUGCUGUUGCCAAGUGACUGGGAGACAAGGAGGUGUAAGAUUGGGAGGGCAGACCUGGCUUUGCAGGCAGACAGGGUCCAGUUCUGGCUCUCCCAUUUGCAACUACUUACUGUAGCACAAGCUUUUAACCCUAAGGCUCAGUUUCCUCAGCUCUUAAAUGAAAACAACACUUACUUCAUAGUUUCCCUAAGGAUUAAAAGCUGUAGUUACCUCCUUAAGGGACCUCCUAGGCCAUUGAGGGUACCUGGACCCAUGCCCAGCUCCAGGAGAGCAGAUCAGGGCUGGGAAGCACAACUGCAGGCUCCAGGCUUGGGUGCUGGAGGGAGAAGCCCGGGAGGAAAAGUCUGUUUGGAAGGGCUUCCUGAUGGAGGUACUUAAGGUAGAGCCAGGCUGGAAAGACCAAGAGAGAGGAAGAAGGUUCCUGGCCCCAUGAACUGCAUAGGUGGGGAGAGUUUGUGCCGGAGCUGGCAGCUAAGUGGGACAGGGUCAGGCCACAGGGGCCUGAGGUUGGAGGGUUCAUGUAGCUGGAUGUGGAAGCCCAUGGGCCCAGGAGUCUAGGGAGUUUGAUUUCUGCAGCUGCACACUUGUGAGCAAGAAGGACUGAUCUGGGAGGGAGCAGCCCUCUCCCUGGGUGGGGCUUUCUGUCCUCUGCUUUCCAUAUUCUGCAGCUGUUUUGGUUGCUCAAGCUUCUCUUAGUGUUCCCUGGAUGGUCACCCAGGAGGAGACUCGAGAGGAGGCAAGGAAGGAGAGAGAGGGUGCAGUGUGGCCUUGGGGAAUACUCUCCUCUGCCUGGAGAUCUGUUGGGAAUGUAUGAACACACAAUGAAUCCUGUUGCCAUGGAGCUUGGCUAACAAAUCCCUGAGGCUAAAGUGCCCUACAUUGGCUCUGGUCCAGCCCAUUGCCACCAUCCAGGGAUAGCAUGUGGCCUACAUCAGCCCAGUAAGAGUCAGCCUGGAACUCCAGCCUGAUGUAUGAGGAAAGAGGUGCUCCCUUGGGGGUCAUCCUUGUGUGGAGAUGGCCUGGCCAAGAAUGACACUAACGUGGAGGAAAAUGGAGCCAACAGAGGUGGAGAAAGACAUGUCCUGAUAACAUCACCGAGCCCCUCAUUUGGGUAGGCCGGAAGCCAAAUGUGCCCCUGAACUUCCCAAUUGUGAGAGCAAAUAAAUGAUCUUUUAUGCUUAA